Lampris incognitus (smalleye Pacific opah) is the source of this 606-nucleotide non-coding RNA. Lineage: Eukaryota; Metazoa; Chordata; Actinopteri; Lampriformes; Lampridae. The record is from the annotation of a RefSeq genome assembly.
AUGUUGUCUGUAGCUCUGCUGCUGCUGCUGCUGGCAGCUGGAUCCUGUGUGAACAGUCAGGAGUUGAAUCAACCAGCGUCUCUGACUGUCCAGCCAGGACAACCACUGACCAUCACCUGUCAGGUCUCUUAUUCUGUUAGUGACUACUGGACAGCCUGGAUCAGACAGCCUGCAGGAAAAGGACUGGAGUGGAUUGGAAUGAUAUAUACUGGGGACACAUCCUACAAACUACUACUACUACUUUCGAUGCUGAUCACUGCUUUUACUCAGUGCUGCUGCUUUGUCUCCACAGGUGUUUCUGGUUGGACCAUAACUGAGUCUGGGCCAGCGGCUAAAAGGCCUGGAGAGUCCCACAAACUGACCUGCACAUAUUCUGACAUCUCAACCGAUAGUGCUUUUGGCUGGAUCAGACAAGCACCAGGAAAAGGACUGGAAUGGAUUUCAUACAUCACUGGGCCAAGUGGAAGCAUUAAGUCCUACUCCCAGUCAGUCCAGGGUCGGUUCACCAUCUCCAGAGACAACAGCAGACAGCAGGUGUAUCUCCAGAUGAGCAGUCUGAAGACUGAAGACUCUGCUGUUUAUUACUGUGCCAGAGACACACAGUGA